This is a long non-coding RNA of Gallus gallus (chicken), 708 nucleotides long. RefSeq lists it as uncharacterized. Lineage: Eukaryota; Metazoa; Chordata; Aves; Galliformes; Phasianidae. The transcript is spliced from 4 exons. The record is from RefSeq and is a predicted model, not a curated record.
ACCGCCCCGUGCAGCAGGGGGUGCUCCUUGGCGAAGGACAGCGUCUCGUCGGGGAUGUCCCCAGAGGUGACAAUGGCAGCGGCCGACCCCAUCCCCGCACAGCAGCCGGGUCUGGGGACGUCGGAGUACGCAAGGGGACCCCCAGCUCCGCCGCCAUCUCCCGGAAGAAGAAGUAGACGUGCGCUCCGUGGGGCAUCGCGUGGACGAAGUGCGGCUCUGGGGACAGCGCGGCCAUCAGCACCACUGCGUCCCCACAGCCGCAGUGCCCCACGGCCCCGACGGCCCCACGCACCCCGCAGCCAGCGGGAGCUGUACUUGAUGCUGCGCAGCGCCGGGCCGCGCACACUGCGGUAGAUGACGGCGUCGCUCGCCUGGAAGUCGGCCACGGUGGCGGAGUACAGACGGUCGUCUGCGGGAACAAGCGAAGGCGUAGAGGUGGUCCCUGUGGGGCACAGCGGGGGGAGAUGCGGCCGUGCACCGCCGUGCAACAGGAGCACGGAACGGUGCAUGAGAGCACACGAGUGUGCAACGAGAACAUGGAACUUUGCACAAGCGUGUGCAAGCGACGCAGCAAGCCGGCAGACGGUGGGAAACCCACGGGUGACCGACCCCGACCCCAGCCCCAAAAACACCCCGGAAGGCAAAGACCCCAAAGGGACAAAGACCCCAAAGGACAAAGCCAUACAAAUAAAUAGGAUCAGAGGGAAA